AGGGUGAGGGGUGCAGCUGGUUCGCCCUGUCAGCCGGACAGGCGCGUCGCAAGAGGGAAUCCGGUGCGAAUCCGGAACUGCCCCGCAGCGGUGAGCGGGAACGACCGCCGUCAUCAGCACUGGGUCCACCACACGGGUCCGGGAAGCGACGGCCAGUAGGUGCCUCCUCGACACACGAGGCGUGCUCGCGAGUCCGAAGACCUGCCACUGCCCGUGCGUGAGA
This 223-nucleotide non-coding RNA is filed under the name Streptomyces sp. Lineage: Bacteria; Bacillati; Actinomycetota; Actinomycetes; Kitasatosporales; Streptomycetaceae. The record is from RNAcentral.